RNAcentral lists this ribosomal RNA (449 nucleotides) under uncultured bacterium. RNAcentral's name for it is "partial 16S ribosomal RNA". It matches the Rfam family "Bacterial small subunit ribosomal RNA", at positions 354 to 796 of the family's 1533-position model. The record is from RNAcentral.
GUCGAGAAUCUUUCACAAUGGGGGCAACCCUGAUGGAGCGACGCCGCGUGGAGGAUAAGGUCUUCGGAUUGUAAACUCCUGUCAUGCGUGAACAAGGUUGCUUGGUUAAUACCUGGGCAAAUUGAUGGUAACGCAAGAGGAAGAGACGGCUAACUCUGUGCCAGCAGCCGCGGUAAUACAGAGGUCUCAAGCGUUGUUCGGAAUCACUGGGCGUAAAGGGUGCGUAGGUGGCGUGGUAAGUCAGAUGUGAAAGCCCGGGGCUCAACCUCGGAACAGCAUCCGAUACUGCCAUGCUAGAGUACUGGAGAGGUGACUAGAAUUCUCGGUGUAGCAGUGAAAUGCGUAGAUAUCGAGAGGAAUACCAAAGGCGUAGGCAGGUCACUGGACAGUUACUGACACUGAGGCACGAAGGCCAGGGGAGCGAACGGGAUUAGAAACCCGGGUAGUCC